GNUUAAUGAUCAUAGGCUCAGAUUGAACCGCUCGGUGUUCAGCCUAACACAUGCAAGUCGAGCGGCAGCACAAGGGAGUUUACUCCUGAGGUGGCGAGCGGCGUGACGGGUGAGUAAUGCCUAGGGAUCUGCCCUGUCGAGGGGGAUAACAGUUGGAAACGACUGCUAAUACCGCAUACGCCCUACGGGGGAAAGAGGGGGACCUUCGGGCCUCUCGCGAUUGGAUGAACCUAGUGGGAUUAGCUAGUUGGUGAGGUAAUGGCUCACCAAGGCGACGAUCCCUAGCUGUUCUGAGAGGAUGAUCAGCCACACUGGGACUGAGACACGGCCCAGACUCCUACGGGAGGCAGCAGUGGGGAAUAUUGCACAAUGGGGGAAACCCUGAUGCAGCCAUGCCGCGUGUGUGAAGAAGGCCUUCGGGUUGUAAAGCACUUUCAGUAGGGAGGAACAGGGUAGAGUCUUAAUACGGCUCAUCUGUGACGUUACCUACAGAAGAAGGACCGGCUAACUCCGUGCCAGCAGCCGCGGUAAUACGGAGGGUCCGAGCGUAAUCGGAAUUUACUGGGGCNUUAAAAGCGUUCNCAAGGCGGUUUGUAAAGGCGAGAUGUGAANAGCCCUGGGCUCAACCCUAGGAAUAGCNUUUCGAACUGGCGAACCUAGAAUCUUGCUACAAGGGGGGGGGGUUAACAACUUUCCCACGUNNUUUACCGGGGGAAAAAAUUGCGCUAUAACGAAACNUUGGGNAGNAAAUACCGGGGUGGCAAAAGGGCGGGGCCCCCCCUUUGUAACAANACUAUGGCUAUACUAAAAUCCAUUUGUUGUCGAGUCCGNGAAUUAAAUACCCGCAUGAUACCGCACGCUGAUAAAUAUAUCCUAUCAGUUGUGUGAUAACAGACGUUGUNUUAGUAUUUAUAAGCNNCUGGNCNGNAGAUAUANUUUNUGGACAGGGCCNUUGUAUUUUUAACAUCUGNUUCCGUGUGNUGGUG
This 986-nucleotide ribosomal RNA is filed under the name uncultured bacterium. RNAcentral describes it as "partial 16S ribosomal RNA". The stretch from base 7 to 816 matches the Rfam family "Bacterial small subunit ribosomal RNA". The record is from RNAcentral.